This 483-nucleotide ribosomal RNA is filed under the name uncultured bacterium. RNAcentral's name for it is "partial 16S ribosomal RNA". It matches the Rfam family "Bacterial small subunit ribosomal RNA", at positions 28 to 507 of the family's 1533-position model. The record is from RNAcentral.
GACGAACGCUGGCGGCGUGCUUAACACAUGCAAGUCGAACGAUGAAGCGGGUGCUUGCCCUCGUGGAUUAGUGGCGAACGGGCGAGUAACACGUGAGUAACCUGUCCUUUUCUUUGGGAUAACGGCUGGAAACGGCUGCUAAUACUGGAUAUUCAGGCUGCAUCGCAUGGUGUGGUUUGGAAAGGUUUUUUCUGGGCUUGGGUGGGCUCGCGGCCUAUCAGCUUGUUGGUGGGGUGAUGGCUUACCAAGGCUUUGACGGGUAGCCGGCCUGAGAGGGUGGUCGGUCGCACUGGGACUGAGAUACGGCCCAGACUCCUACGGGAGGCAGCAGUGGGGAAUAUUGCACAAUGGACGAAAGUUUGAUGCAGCGACGCCGCGUGGAGGGUGUAGGCCUUCGGGUUGUGAACUCCUUUUUCUCGCGAAAAAGGCACAGUUUUGGCUGUGUUGAUGGUAGUGGGGGAAGAAGCGCCGGCUAACUACGUG